GUUCAAAUGAGGAAAGGCUUACGGUGCAUAACUAGGCACCCAGAGAUGAGGAAGGGCGUAGUAAUCAAUGAAAUGCUUUGGGAAGUUAAAAAUAAGAAUAGAUCCAGAGAUUCCCGAAUAGGGAAACCUUUCAAACUACUGCUGAAUCUAUGGGCAAGAAAGAGACAACCUGGCGAACUGAAAUAUCUUAGUAGCUAGAGGAAAAGAAAACAAAAGAGAUUCCCGUAGUAGUGGUGAGCAAAAUGGGAGCAGCCUAAACCAUGAAAAUGGGUUAUGGGAGAGCAAUACAAACGUUGUGCUGCUAGGUGAAUCAACCUUAAUGUUGCUCCCUAGAUGGAAAAAUUCCAGUAGCCAAAAGCAUCACUAGCUUAUGCUCUGACCCGAGUAGCAUAGGGCACGUGGAAUCCCGUGUGAAUCAACAAGGACCACCUUGCAAGGCUAAAUACUCCUGGGUGACCGAUAGCAAAGUAGCACCGUGAGGAAAGGGUGAAAAUAACCCCUAUCGGGGAGUGAAAUAGAACAUGAAGCCAUAAGCUCCCAACCAAUGGGAGGAGCCAAGGCUCUGACCCUGUGACUGCUGAAGAAUGAGUCGGUGACUCAUAGGCAGUGGCUUGGUUAAGGGAACCCACCGGAGCCGUAGCAAAAGCGAGUCCUCAUAGGGCAAUUAUCACUACUUAUGAACCUGAACCUGGGUGAUCUAUCCAUAACCAGGAUGAAGCUUGGGUGAAACUAAGUGGAGGUCCAAACCGACUGAUGUUGAAGAAUCAGCGGAUGAGUUGUGGUUAGGGGUGAAAUGCCACUCGAACCCAGAGCUAGUUGGUUCUCCCCGAAAUGUAUUGAGGCACAACAGUUGACUGGACAUCUAGGGUUAAAGCACUAUUUCAGUGUGGUCCAGGAGAGCGGUACCAAAUCAAGGAAAGCUCUGAAUACUAGGUAUGGCCUUAAAAUUAAAAAAGAGGGGUCAAAGUCAACUAGUGAGAUGAUGGGGGAUAAGCUUCAUCGUCAAGAGGGAAAUAGCCCGGAUCACCAGCUAAGGAUCCUAAAUAGCCGCUCAGUGAUAAAGGAGGUAGGGGUGCAGAGACAGCCAGGAGGUUUACCUAGAAGCAACCACCCUUGAAAGAGUGCGUAAUAGCUCACUAAUCGAGCGCUCUUACGCCAAAAAUAAAUAGGGCUAAGUAAUCUGCCAAAGCUGUGGAGUGUAAAAAUACAUCGGUAGGGGAGCUUUCCGCCUUAGAGGGAAGCCUCUGCAUGAAUGGUGGUGGACGAAGUGGAAGCGAGAAUGUCGGAUUGAGUAACGCAAACAUUGGUGAGAAUCCAAUGCCCUAAAAUCCUAAGGAUUCCUCCGCAAGGUUCGUCCACGGAGGGUGCGUCAGGGCCUAAGAUCAGGCCGAAAGGCAUAGUCAAUGGACAACAGGUGAAUAUUCCUGUACUACCCCUUGUUGGUCCCGAGGGAUGGAAGAGGCUAGGUUAGCCAAAAAAUGGUUAUCGGUUCAAGAACGUAAGGUGUCCCUGCCCUUUUUUCAGGGUAAGAAGGGGUAGAGAAAAUGCCUCAAGCCAAUGUUCAAAUACCAGGCCCUACGGCGCUGAAGUAACCCAUGCCAUAGUCCUAGGAAAAUCUCAAACGAAUUUGAGAAAGAGGGUACCUAUACCCGAAACCAACACAGGUGGGUAGGUAGAAAAUACCUAGGGGAGCGAGACAACUCUCUCUAAGGAACUCGGCAAAAUAGCCCCGUAACUUUGGGAGAAGGGGUGCCUCUUAACAUCACAAAGGGGGUCACAAUGACCAGGCUCGGGUGACUGUUUACCAAAAACACAGGUCUCCGCAAAGUAGUAAGACCAUAUAUGGGGGCUGACACCUGUCCAGUGUCGGAAGGUCAAAGAAGUUGGUGACCUGAUGACAGGGGAGCCGGCGACCGAAGUCCCAAUGAACGGCAGCCAUAACUAUAAUGGUCCUAAGGUAUCAAAAUUCCUUAUCGGCUACAUUUUGACCCGUACGAAAGGCUUAACAAUCUGGCACUAUCUUGGAGAGAGACUCGAUAAAAUAGACAUGUCUAUGAAGAUGCGGACUACCUAUACCUGGACAAAAAGACCCUAUAAAGCUUCACUGUUCCUUGGGAUUGGAUUUAGGUAUUUCUUGCGUAGCUUAGGUGGAAUACGAAGAAGGCCUCCUUCUAGGGGGCCCGAGCCAUCAGUGAGAUACCACUCUGGAAGGGCUAGAAUUCUAACCUUGUGUCAGGACCUACGGACCAAAGGACAAUCUCAGGUAGACAGUUUCUAUGGGGAAUAGGCCUCCCAAAAUGUAAUGGAGGUGUGCAAAGGUUUCCUCGGGCCAGACGAAGAUUAGCCCUCGAGUGCAAAGGCAGAAGGGAACUUGACUGCAAGACCUACCCAUCGAGUAGGGGCAAAAGUCAGCCUUAGUGAUACGAUGGUGUCGAGUGGAAGGGCCAUCGUUCAAUGGAUAAAAGUUACUCUAGGGAUAACAGGAUGAUCUUUCUCAAGAGCUCACAUCGACGGGAAGGUUUGGCACCUCGACGUCGGCUCUUCGCCACCUAGGGUUGUAGUUUGUUCCAAGGGUUGGGCUGUUUGCCCAUUAAAGCGGUACGUGAGCUGGGUUCAGAACGUCGUCAGACAUUUUGGUCCAUAUCCAGUGUGGAAGUUAGAGCAUUGAGAGAACCUUUCCCUAGCAUGAGAGUACCGGGAAGGACGCACCUCUGGCGUACCAGUUAUCGUGCCCACGGUAAAUGCUGGGUAGCCAAAUGCAGAGCGGAUAACUACUGAAAGCAUCUAAGUAGUAAGCCCACCCCAAGAUGAGUUCUCUCCUAUUCUGACUUCCCCAAAGCUUCCGAUAGCAUAGAUGAGACACCGACGGGUUCUCUACCCCUGCGGGGAAGGAACGACAGAAGUUUUUUUGAGAAUUCAAGAGAAGGUCAUGGCGAGACAAGCCAUUUGUCAUUACGAUAGGUGUCAAGUGGAAAUGCAGUGAUGUAUGCAGCUGAGGCAUCCUAACAGACUGGUAGACUUGAAUCU
Non-coding RNA from Capsicum annuum, 3027 nucleotides. The record is from Rfam. Lineage: Eukaryota; Viridiplantae; Streptophyta; Magnoliopsida; Solanales; Solanaceae.